This 24-nucleotide small nuclear RNA is filed under the name Arabidopsis thaliana (thale cress). Its description in RNAcentral is "snRNA_02632". Lineage: Eukaryota; Viridiplantae; Streptophyta; Magnoliopsida; Brassicales; Brassicaceae. The record is from RNAcentral.
AUUCACCACAAAACAGAACUCUCU